GUCAGGAUGGCUAAGUGGUCUAAGGGGCUAGAUUCAAGUUCUAGUCCUCGUAUGAGGGUGUAGGUUCUAAUCCCACUUUUGACA
This is a transfer RNA of Ipomoea nil (Japanese morning glory), 84 nucleotides long. It matches the Rfam family "tRNA". Rfam says of the family: Transfer RNA (tRNA) molecules are approximately 80 nucleotides in length. NCBI's taxonomy places the organism in Eukaryota, Viridiplantae, Streptophyta, Magnoliopsida, Solanales, Convolvulaceae. The record is from Rfam.